AGGGGCCCCCUUGGAGGAAAGGCAUGCACCGCGCUCGGCCCAGGCGCGCACUUCGUGCUCACUAAGCGCUCAGGAUACGGAUCCAGCGGUCGUUACCAUGAUCAUCAGGACAGCGUUCCCUGUCCCCACUGAGCCGUCAGGAAGCCAUUUAUGACCCCAGAUGCCUGAGAUGUCCUGCUUCUCUAGACUGCUGCUUCGUAUGGGGUCUGCACCAGGGUUGUCUAAAAUUAUAAUAAUGAAACUGAGGCUCAAAAAAUUAUGAAACUUAAUACCUGAAACCAUAAAAUUCCUGGAAGAAAACGUAAACAGUAUGCUCUCUGACACUGGUCUUAGCAAUAUUUUUUUUGGACCUGUCUCCUCAGGCAAGGGAAACAAAAGGAAAAUAAACAAAUGGGACUACGUCAGACUAAAAACUUUUGCACAGUGAAGGAAGCCACCAACAAAACGAAAAGGCAACCUACUGAAUGGAAGAAGAUAUUUGCAAAUGAUAUAUCCAAUAAGGGCUUAAUAUCCACAAUAUAUAAAGAGUUCAUACAAGUCAAUGGCAAAAAAAUCUGAUAACAAAUGGACAGAUGUAAUAAACUAUAAUGGAAAAGAAUAUCUUUAUCUAUCAUCCAUCUAUCUAUCUAUCUAUCUAUCUAUCUAUCUAUCUAUCUAUCUGAGUCACUUUGCUGUACACCAGAAACCAACACAACGUUGCAAACCAACCAUACCACAAUAAAAAAAUAAAAAUAAAAAAUGGGCAGAGCACUUGAAUAGAUAUUUUCCUAAGGAAGAUAUAGAGAUGGACAACAGGAGCAUGAAAAUAUGCUCAGCAUCACUAAUCAUCAGGGAAAUGCAAAUCAAAACUACAAUGAGAUAUCACCCCACACCUGCCAGAAUGGCCGUCAUCAAAAAGACAACAAAUUUUAGGCAUUGGUGAGGAUGUGGAGAAAAGGGAACCCUUGCGCACUAUUGGUGGGAAUGUAAAUUGGUGCAGUCACCCUGGAAAACAGUAUGGAGAGUCCUCAAAAAAUCAAAAUUAGAACUAUCAUAUGAUUCAGCAAUUUCACUUCUGUGUAUUUACCUGAAGAAAACGAAACACUAAUUCAAAAAGAUACAUGUACCCCAAUGUUCACUGCGGCAUCAUUUACAGUAGCCAAGACAUGGAAGCAACCCAAGUGUCCACUGACAGAUGAAUGGACAAAGAAGAUGUGGUAUAUACGUACAAUGGAAUACUACUUAGCCAUAAAAAUAAUGAAAUCUUGCCAUUUGCAAUAACAUGGGAAGACCUAGAAGGUCUAGUGAAAUAAGUCAGACAGAGAAGGACAAACACCACAUGAUUUCACUUAAAUGUGAAAUGCAAAAAACAAGACAUAUGAACAAACUAAACAAAACAGAAACAAACUCAUAGAUACAGAGAAUAAACUGGUGGUCGCCUGAGGGGAGGGGGUCGUGUGUGGGCAGCAUACGUGAAGGGGAUCAAGAGGUACAAACUUUCAGUUAUAAAAUAAAUAAGUCAUGGGGAUGUAACAUACAGCAUAGGGAAUAUAGUCAAUAGUAUUGGAAUAACUUUGUAUGGUGGGAGGGGGAGGUAUCAGGAACAUUAUAGCAGAAAUGCAAAGCUAAUAAGCUAAUCAGCUUCUGACAUUCAAUGUAAGAUUUAGGGACAACGUAGUAAGAUUAAAAGCCAGGUUUUAGAAGAGGGAGUGUAGGGAGAGGAAAGUGGAGGAGGGUAGUACAUUUAUUUAUUUUUUAUUAUUUUUAGCAUAUCAAGAGGAAAACUUGGAAGAUUUAGAUCUUCAUUUCUUCCAUAGUUGAAGAAGAUACCUCUUUCACCUUGGCAAGGCUCUUUGGCAUCCCACCCUGGAAGGAUAUGGCCAAGUUUGAUGAGAAAGGUUGACCCCACUUUGGGGCAGGAUCGCACCUGGAACGGUGCAGGCAGGCCUCUGGCUUGCCCCAAGCGCUUCCCAACAUGCCUGCUUUUCCCGGAAGAAAGUGUGAGAUGCCCAAACGGACCAUAUGGUUUGGAGCGAGAGCCUUGGAGCCCACAGACAAUGGGGAAGUGAGAGGCCCAGGAAGAGACUGAGGCUUAAGGAGGUUAAGACACAUGCCCGAGGUCGUGAGGUUGGCAGGCAGUAGAGUCAGAGAUGGAACCCAGGGCUAUCUGGCUUCAGUGCCCAUGAUGUUGACCACUCAUCAUCCUCCUUCUGCCACUUUCUUCCUUUCUGUGAACGCCCACUCUGUGGCAGCUCCACCUAGGGUCUGGGGACAUGGAAUGGAAACCACAACCCUACUCUGUAGCGGGGGGGAUGGCUGUUGCAGGUGUGGAGGUGGGGGACAUUGAUUCAAAUGUAUUUUAAAAUGUGAAGUGAGUGCCCUGCUCUUGCAUAUGUGGUCAACUUCCCAGCUCCAGGGAAGUCUGGGCCGAAGAGAGAAUGAAUCAGGUGUGAGAGGUUUAGCUCUGCAUGGCGCAAGGCUGUGUGCUUCUGAGGGGAAUGUGUCUAAGGUGCGUCUCUCUCUAGGCAAGGGGACAUUUCCUGACUUGGCUGGACAGAUCACAUUUCUGACUUGGGCCUGACCCCCCAUAGGAUGGUUUUGUGUCAUGCCCAAACCCACAGCACUCUCUGAAUCACGCCUUUUGUGCCAGAGGAGACCUCUGCACCUGCUGGAGUUGGAGUUGUCUCUUCCCCUUAUGAGACAGAUCUGUGCAAACGUGCUUCUCUAAGCAGUGGACACGGGCAGCCUUUCCAGUCCCAGACAGAAAACAGACAUCCCCGGAACACUCAUGGGGGUGGGAAAGAGGAGGGACUCCUCAAAGCAGAGUGGGGGCUGAGCGGUUGCUGGGGACAAGGCACACCUGGGUGGGUGGCCAUCAGCAGAAAGAGACCUGGGACUGGUUCCAGGGAAAGCCAUUUGCAGUAACAGAGGCCAGAAGUGCACCUCCAUUGUUCCCAGGAAAUGACCCACGUGGCAUGUUUAGGGUGGGAAUGUGAGGGCCCCUGCCCUCCUCUCAGACCCUCAGCAGCCCUCUCAGUUGCUCCCCGCCAUCCCCUAAGUCCUGACUCUGCCCACUGAGCACUGGCAGUGGGUCUAGCUGAGGGUUGGGUGUAGAAGAAGACCCCAUUCCUGCCCUCAAAGAACUGGUAGUCUGUCUGGGAGUCGGAACAGAAGCAUGCAGAGCAGCCAGCGGUCCGCAUUUGCAUGCAACUCUGCCUGUAUGCGCUCACCCGCUCAGCCAAUCACCCGCCAGUCGUUUCCGGAGAGCCUCGCAGGUGCAGGGGUCGCUGUGUGUAGUGCUGGAAAACCCAACGGAGCUGCUCUUCUGGAACUUUCCGACAGGAAAACAGACCACAGUCACAAAAAUGAAGAAACAUUUAAGAUGACAGCAGGGGGUAACGAGUGCUAAAUAAACAGGGUGCCAUUGUGAGGAAAAACAGGAGAAACCUACUCCAGCUGAGGUGGCAGAGAUCUCUGAGGAGAUGACGUGGAAGCUGAGACUUGAAGGAUGAGAAGGAGCCAGCCAUGGAGAGAGCUAGAGGGAGAGCAUUCCAGGCAGAGGCCCGAGCAAGUGCCGACUCGGGGGCAGGAACAAGCUUGUAUUGUGUGAAGAACUGAUGGAAGACCAGGGUAUGUUAAGAAAGCCUUCAGGAGUGAGGUGCAAACCUUGGACAAACAAUGCAUAUCAGCAUAACAUGAGUAAGAACAGGCGUCUACUGAUCGCUCACCAGGUGCCGAACACUGUGCUCAUGUUACACCUGAUUUACUCCUCACACCAGCUGGAUGAGGUGUGCACUGUCAUACUCCUAGUCAUGCAGAGGUCAGACAGGUGAAGUCAGUUGCCAAAGGUCAGACAGGUGAAGUCAGACAGGUGAAGUCAGCGGUGUAACUGGGUUUUGAACAUAAGUCUGAUUCAAGACCCCAGGUUCAUAACCAUUAGGUGAUUCUGUCUCCCAAUAUGUAGUACACACUGCGCACACCUGCUACAUGGAAAGGACAGAGAAGGGAGGAACCAGAGAAAAUUGUAGUCAUGGCUUACAGUGUAGGCUGUUGGGAAGAUCAUGUAGAGAGAAGUGUGGACAAUCAUAUACUGAAAAGUCAUUAUUAAAGCUAUACCGCAUCCUAAGGAGUUUAUUAUUCUUUGAUGAGCAGGGCUUCCUUUAGAGCAUCUUAGCUGUCUAAAGGUGGAAAACAGCGCUACCUGUUGGUGAAAAAGGGUGGUGGUUGUACGACAACUCGAGAACACUUGGGUCCAUCCCUGGUGAAGCGUUUCUCGGUCACCCCCAGGAUGUGCAGGCUUGCACUGGGCUGGUGGGUGAGGAUGUGGCAAGAGGAGUGGGCUGAGGGCUGGAGGGAAUGGAGAACUCAGAGGCACAGCUUUGCCUCCAGAAUAGAGAGGGCUGAGUCGGGAGGUUGGGCUCCCCACUCUGUCUUCCUCAUGGGCACACCAGGGGAUCUCAGAAAAUAAAAAUGGGGAUGUGGAAAAAGUGAGAGAUCUAGGAAGGCUCGAGAAGCUGGGAGAGGCUCCAGCAAAGAGGCAAAACCUGAGCAAGCAAGUAUUUGUGCAUAACUGUGAAAUGUUGUAAGUUCUUCACUGCAGUAUUGUUUGAAAUUUAAAAGGUGGAAACGACCCAUGUGUCCAUCAGUAGAGGGUUGGUAAAUAUGUUGCAUGCGUAUCACGGAAUGCUACACAGCUGUAAGAAAAUAAGGAGCAAGCUCUUUAUACAGUGAUAUGGAAAAGUCCCCAAGGUGUAUAAAGAGAGCAAAACAAAUCAACAGCAAAGAUUAAGGUGUAGAACGGUGUGCACAGUAUGCCAUGGUUUAUGUAAACGGAAGAGGGGAUAUAAAAUAUUUAUCUUGUUUGUCUGAGCCAAAGGAAACUCUGGAACAUGCACAGGAAACUGUUAACACAGCGGUUGCCUGAGUGAGUGGGUGGGA
Orcinus orca (killer whale) is the source of this 4917-nucleotide long non-coding RNA. RefSeq lists it as uncharacterized. NCBI's taxonomy places the organism in Eukaryota, Metazoa, Chordata, Mammalia, Artiodactyla, Delphinidae. The transcript has 5 exons. The record is from RefSeq and is a predicted model, not a curated record.